This is a non-coding RNA of Aegilops tauschii subsp. strangulata, 6554 nucleotides long. The record is from RefSeq and is a predicted model, not a curated record. Lineage: Eukaryota; Viridiplantae; Streptophyta; Magnoliopsida; Poales; Poaceae.
AUCAUGGGCUGGUCGAGUUGGAGAUCCGCCUGUGCGACACGACGACUCUUUGCCGCAAAGAGUGCUAUAUAGGAGCCCCCCUAGGAAGAGUUGAAGCAGUCAAUGUAAAAAUCGUAGGAUUACUAAUUAUGCCGACUCGACUGGCAGGCCGACAUCACUGAACAGAAAUUACCGGCGCCCCACCGUUGUGUAGCUCCCCAAGAGGGUUGCUAAGAUUGAUUGUAGUGGCCCUGCAGAGGAACUGGGGAUCAUUUUUUUCUUUUUCGAAACCAAGAAUUGUGGAUCGAUAUGAUUGGGAGGCGUCCAUCGUGUACAUGUUUUGUAGAGAGAGAGAGAGAGAGAGAGAGAGAGAGAGAGAGAGAGAGAGUUGUGAGAGUUCCGGGACGAAAAGGAACGAAUGGAACAUUGGGGCGUAUGAACCUGUUUUUCAAAAAAAUAAUAGUAAUAUAAAAAAUGGUCGAAACAUCAUGAAACAUACAGUUGGCAACAAAUUUGAUGAAACGUUACGCUCACGUAAGAAAUUUAGGAACAAAAUGACUUUCGUGGUGUUGUCCAGGACAAGGUCAAAAUCAACACUAUAUUAGAAGUACUAUUCGCUCCGAUUUUUUUAUGCUCAGAUUUUAUGGGGAGUUUUUUAUUGUCAUUUUUGUAGUGAGUAGGCCAACAUGUCAAGUUUGUUCGAAAAAAGUUCAAAAAAUCAUUAACUUUUUUUCCUGAAUGGCUAAAAAAUCCCUAGAAAAUAGUUUAUGGGGUUCAUCUACAACCAAGUGUAUCCUGGUAUUUUUCGGGGCCGAAGCAUUAUAACUAGCCAGAUCGAUAAAUACCAGCUUUGUGGGUUGAGUUCUAUUUUUCCAACCAGAUCAAUGCUUCUGUGCGAGUGUAAUUGUCUAACUGGGCUAAGACUUUGGGCUUUUGUUUUGUAGUGCGCCGGGGUCAAUGAAAUCUUAACAGGGACUAGCUGAAGUGUUGACCCAAUCUUCUCCACAGAAAAAUGUUGAACCAUCAAACUACAUUGGUGUUGCGGGAGACCUAUAUUUCGGUUUUAUGUUUUUCUUCACCAGUUUUCUGUUUCACUGGUUUUCUUCGUUUCUUUAACGGUUUUCACUGAAUUUUCUUUCCUUUUCUCUUUCUUCCUUUUACUCGAAUAUCCGUUUAUGAUCCCAAGCUUAUCUGCACCCGGUCAAGUUUUUUUUUCAAAACAACUACUAGAAAAAUUCAGAAAAAUCCAUUUUUUGCAUGGUAGAUAAUUUGGUGCGUGAGAUGCGCUCCAAAUUUCAGAUCAUUUGGACAUAUGAGUAGCUCUUAGCAAAAAAGACAAAUUGGGUUAGAACAAUAUAUGAACAGUGAACUUUUUUACAGACCCCAAAUUUGUCUUUCACCAUCUUUCUUUGUUUUUUCUUUUCUUUUAUUCUUCAAAACAUGGCUACAUUAUUCAUACACAUUGGCACAUUUUUUGUGUACAUUAGGAACAUUUAUUUAUACAUGUUUAAUAUAUUUUAUAUACAUGAUUAACAUUUAAAAAAAGAUUUUAUGACUUCUUUUUUUCAUAAACAUUGUUCAUUUUAGUUAUAUAUCAGGAUGUUUUGUAAUACAUGUUUAACAUUUUGAAAAUAUAUGAUUAACAUUUAUUUAUACACAGUCAUCAUUUUAUAAAAUUUAUGUUUUUCUGUUCAAAUUUUUAAAUACAUGUUGUAAAAUUUUCAAUAUAUCUUUAUGAUUUCUAAAUACAUGAUUAACAGUUUUUUCAUAUGUAUGUUUUGAUGUCUAUUGUUUUUCAGACCCGCUGUACAUCUUUCCCAUAUACAUUAGAAACAUUUUUAUACACGUUAACAUCUGAAAUGCAUGAUUAAUAUUUUUUGGAAGACAGAACAUUUGUUGUUCGAAUAUGUGUUAAACAUUUUUUCCAAAUACGUCGUGAAACUUUUUUUCCAAAUGCUGUGAUGGACAUCUGAAAUGGACGAAGAGUGCACCUGGGCCAGACCAGUCCGGUCCUGGGUUAGCAAGUUAUGGGCCAUUAAAGCGUCACUGUCAGCCCUGCUUGGUCCAUUAAACGGGUCCACUAGUUGUACUACUUCCUAUAUAAAACACGGUGCGGUGGAGCGCCCGCUGCGUCCCCGAUCAAAACCAGGGGCGGAAGGGAUUGCUCGCCGUCCAUCCGCUCUCGGUCAUCGUGGCCUACCUUAUCCUCGCAAAAAAUAAAAUUAACAUGGCCUAGCCUAGUCAGAGUUGCAGUGUCAUCCUGUGGGAUUGUUGGUUUUGACGGAUCGCUUUACAGCCGAGCCGAGGCCAGAAAAUCAACGAUUUCGUACGUGGUGGGGCGCGUUGAUGAUGAAGCCGGCAGCAUCUUCUGCUUUAGGUAAGGCUUUAUCACCUUCUUCUUGGCUUUGUGGACUGCACUCGCGGUGAUGACUCAUGAGUCGUAAACUUUUAUUUUAUUUUAUUAUUAUUCGUGGGAGCGAUAGCGAUGAUUCAUUCUGCUAUGCACGACACGCGCUAGAUCGCUCACAAAACUAAACACACGCGUCUUUUUUUUUUUUUGACGGGAUUAGUUUGCAGUGAAUCCGUUUCUCUCGCGUCGCGUGUGGGCAUGUGCGAUCGAUCAAGCAAAGUUGUCGUGGGCAGGUCCCACGCACUGACGCACAUUAUGCGCGCCACCGUUUUUCCACCACCCAACAAAAGCUAGCCACCAACUUAGAAAAAACAAAAAAAAGCUAGCCACCAACUUCAAAAAAAAGAAGAAGAAAGAAACACAAAAGCUAGUCGCACGCACAUGCAUGCGCGACUCAUUUUUCCACCGCCCAACAAAAUCUAGUAUAAUCUAAUCUACUGACACAAGCUAGCGAGCGAGCUGGGUGAUGGAGAACCAAGAAUCGUCUCUUCUUUCUUUAAUCUUUAAAUAAAUAUAUAAAAAAUACAACUGUGAAAAAAGAAAGCUACCUUUAUUGGGUGGAAACCAUGGGAGACAGCGCGCAUCAUCUCUCAUAGGUGCCUCGGCCUAUUAAAUGGACCACUAGCUAUAGCAGUAUAGCUCUUACUAGUAUAUACAGUAGCACAGUGCGGUUAGUCAUGGCCUAGGCUAGGCAGAGCUUUUCCUCUCCCUAGCCUCUUCAUGUCGGUCGUUGGCAUCGACGAACGAAUGCCGAGCACAAGUUCAUCUCGUCCGCUUCUACAAAAGCAAAGCCGCAGAGCUUCCUACGUGGUGAGCACCUUUGCUAAGGUAUAUAUAUCUUGCCUUCCCCAUCUCAUUUCUUCGCUUUGUACAACGUUUUUUUUUUCUUUUACAUUUUAUUCGCGGGCUUGUGGCAACUAGGAUUUCAAGUUGUUUCCUUGAAUUGGAGGACUUUCAAGGUAACUGGUGUCGAUCAGAGAUGACUUAAUUAGUGCGCUCAUAUUUCUGAAGCCAUGUGGUUCUGCUAUACAGGAAUAUGUUUUCACACUGCCACACUAGCUACUUUUAUUAUUUCGAAAUGUAGUUCCCUAUGUUUAUCCAUACGGUAUUUGUUUAGUAUAGUCCCACCACUUGUUGUCAAGUUUUGCAUUUCUUAUCACGGUACAAAGUUUACCUCUGCCGCUAUACGAUGUACACACCUUUCUUUGGUAUUCUUUUUGCUACAUAGAUAUUGCAUAUUACUCCCUCCGUUCAAUAAUUCUUUUCGUGGCUUUAGUUCAAAUUUUGAACUAAAAUCACGACAAGAAUUAUGGAACGGUCCAAAAAACAAAAAACUCAAGUUGAAACAGGUCAUUCAACACCAUAUGUUUGGCUCAUUAAGUCAUUAUGUGGCGGAUUCCUUCUAAUCCUGCAUGGUGGUUCAAACUCAUUAUCCUGCAUGGUUCAAUAGUCAUAUAAAUUAUGCUUCUGUUUGGGUCAAACUCAUUAGUGCUUUUGUUUGGACGCAACUUGCCUCAAGUUUGAUUUGUUUCCUAAUUAUUCUGCAUGCAAAAAUUUCCUUGCAUGAGAUCGCUAGGGAGUCAUUUCGCUCUUAUAUUUCUUCACUAAUCCAAUAUCUCAUCCUACACGAUGCAACAAUAAAUCCUAUAUCACACAUACCCGUUGUGCACACACUGCGGCCGGUCAUCGAAGAGCUUCGGCAACCACAUAAGCACCUCACCCUCGACCGGCUGCAAUGGAGACCGCAGCAUGGUCCUAGUGCACCACGACGACGGUUGGUCGACCUUGAGGCGCCAAGGCGAGUUAUCAAAACCAAACCUGGGUGUUGAUGCUUUGCUGAGGUACGUCUGAUUCGACUAAUUUCUGUUACGUCAAUCUAGAUAUGGACCGGCUUGCAGCUAUACUUUACGAUCUCUAUAGGAUCCAGGGUUUGCAUGUGUGCAGAUUUUACAUGCGUGGAGUUAGGAGCGAGACAUGGAGGUGUGGACAGUUCAUGUGGAGAUUUUGCAUGAGUUCCUCUCCGCAGGCUCUUCAUGUCGGUCGUUGGCAUUGACGAUCGAAUGCCGCGCACAAGUUUAUCUCGUUCUCUUCUAGAAAAGCCAGCGCUUCCUACGUGGUGCCGCGUCACGACGAGUGAGCACCUUGGUUAAGGUAUGCGUUGCCUUUGUUAGAAGGGAGAGAGAGGUUUGGUGGAAUAUUUCGUUGUAUUAUUGAGCCUCGAGGGCGAGUAUAUAUUGAGUACAAGACUUGGAGGGCAAGACGCCUCUCCUGAAGAUAAGGUAGGAGACGGAUUACAAAUCCUAGACUACCAAAUACAAGUAUCCCAAAUAUAUCUCUAACAACCUUCUCCAUCUCAUUUCUAAGCUUUGUGGACUGCAGUGAGCACUCCUAGUCGUACAACGCGGUGACGGGUCUUUACAUUUUAUUAGGGCUCGCAGAAGCAUUUCAAGCAGUUUCCUUGAAUCGCAGGACUUCCAAGGUAAUCGGGCAUCAGAGAUAACUUACUGCGGCCAUAUUUUUGAAGCCAUGGUUCUGCUAUACAUGAAUGUAUUUACACUGGUACACUACUUUUAGUUAUUUCGAAAUGUAGUUUGCUAUGUUUAUCCAUAUGGUAUUUUUUGUUUGCUAUAUAUAUAGUCCCACCACUUGUUGUCAAGUUUCGCAUUUCUUAGCGCAGUAUGAAUUUUACCUUUGCCACUAUAGGACGUAUAUCCAACUUCCUUUGGCAUUCUUUAUGCUAGACUAGAUAGAUGUACUAUUGCAUGGUACUCCCCCCAUUCCAUAAUUCGUGUCGUGGCUUUAGUGUUUUAGUUUAAACUAAAACCAAUUUAAAACAAAAAAAAUCAAGUUAAACAAGCCUUUCAUCAAUGUUUUGCUCAUUAAGCCAUCAUGUGGUGGAUUCCUUCUCAUCUUCCAGGGUUCAACAGUCAUAAAUUGUGCUUCCGUUUGGGUCAAACUUGUUAGUGCUUUUGUUUGGAGGCAACUAGCCGCAAGUUUGAUUUGUUUCCUAGUUAUUUUGCAUGCAAAACUUUCCUUGCAUGAGAUAGCAUCAACGUUUGGACUCUUUGAUACGCUCCGCAGCUCCUAUAUUUCUUUGCUGCUCUAAUACCUCAUCCUACACAAUGCAACAACAACAAAAGAAGUACCUCAUCCUGUUUCCUAUAUCUCUUGCAUUGACACACAUACCCAUUGUGCACACGCCGCGGCCGGUCAUCGAAGAGCUUCUGCCACCACAUAAGCACCUCACCCUCGACCGGAUGCAAUCCAUACCGUAGCACGGUCCUACUGCACCACGACGACGGUUGGUCGAGGCGCCAAGGAUUCAAGCAACGUUGGUGAUAUCUCGGUUCAAGGAUUCCUAACUACAACUUCCCUUAACUAGACGUUCCAUCUCCCCCUUUCUAGCCAAGCUUUUGAUGAAGUGAAAGAUUUGCAACUUCAAAUGGCAAACACUACUUUAAAUGGAUCAAUGGACAGCUGGACUUACUCGUGGGGCUCGAAAGUUUACUCUGCGCACAGAUAUUACACAUACUACUUCAGAGACAUGCAUGCUCAUGACACGUUCAAGUGGAUAUGGAAAUCAAGGGCCACGAUGAAAAUUAAAGUUUUUGGUUGGCUCCUCCUGGUUGAUCGGUUAAACACUCGCAACAUGCUCAAAAGAAGGCAUUAUAAUAUUGGAGAGGAUCACAGCUGCCUUCUCUGCGACUCUCCCGAUGAAGAAACUCUGGAACAUCUAUUUUUUGAGUGCUCCUUCAGCUUCCAUUGCUGGGAAGCCCUUCAUAUUCCCUGGGCUGCGGGGGAGACAACAAUCCAAAGGAUAUCAGAGGCCAAACUUGGUUGGAACCGACCCCUCUUCAUGGAAACAUUUCUGUUGGCUGCUUGGAGUAUUUGGAAGGAGAGGAACAACAAGCACUUUAGGAGAAUUGCACCAUCAAAAGAAUCCUGGCUAAGAAGAUUCAAGGAAGAUUUUUCUCUCCUCACUCAUAGGGUGAAGGAGAAGCACAAAGACUCUAUCCCCUCUAUCCUAGCCUCUAUAGUCUAGUGUUUCACUCUACCCCAUCUCAUGGGCAUGUAAACUCUUUGUACAUUGUGGCCCAUUCUUUAAUUUAAUUCACAGUAGAAGGUUCUCCUACUGUUAAAGGUUAAAAAAAGGCUUUGCAUCCGA